CUCCAGGACAUUCUCAUUCACUGUCCCUUGCUGGUGGAAUGAUCUUCCUGCCUUCAUCCAGAAUGCUGAAUCCCUGGCAACAUUCAAAAGACAGCUGAAAACUCAUCUCUUUUGUGAGCACUUAACCUCAUCUUAGAAAAAAAAAUAAUAUUAGGAUUAAAGGAUUAUACCUAUCCUUUCACUUCCUCUCUAUUGUAGCUUAUGAUACUCUGAGCACCAGUGGCGCACCAUGGGGGGCGCCAAAGCGAUGGUUAAUUUUUUUUUUUUUAAAUAAUAAAAGUUAUAUAAAUUUAUAAUCAAAGUUAUACAUAAAAAAAGUUAUAUAAAUUUUAGAGGACUAACAGGCUAGAGUAGGCGCCGGUACCCUCAUAAGAUUCCAUCAUAGAAUUUAAACAUAGAAGGGUAAUAUCGCGAGUGGGCGGGGCGCAGCGCUGAGUGAGCAGCAGUAACGUAAACUCGAAAAAGAUGGAUAAAGCAAAAAAGCUAUCGGGGGCUAAAAAUAGAAAAAGAAAGAGGGAAAAGGAGAUGGCAUGUCAAGGGAUGCGACAGCUGCUAAAUAAGUGGAUGGUGAAAGGCAACAGUGGAGAAGAACACAGGCAAGGGGUAAAAGAGACAGACAUGAUGUCGGCGAUGGCAUCAAGUAAAGAUGAGACCAGUGAUGAUAUCAGGUAGGAGUUAUAUUAGUUAGACCACACCAAACUAAGUUCUGUUUACCAAUCUAUUCACUGUGUCCUUUUUGGGUAAAAAUUAGUGCAGACAGAGAUGGAAAGCCACUCACCACUGAGGAGGAAUUGGAGAAGAAUGUGGAAAAGGGAGGUGAAGAGGAGAGGGAGGUGGAAAUGGAACAGAGAGGUGAAGAGGAGAGGGCUGAGACAAGGCAUUACUCAGAAGAUCCAUCUGACUGGCCACCACCACACCAGAUUGGGGACUCAUUUA
Long non-coding RNA from Megalobrama amblycephala (Wuchang bream), 936 nucleotides. RefSeq lists it as uncharacterized. The transcript has 3 exons. Lineage: Eukaryota; Metazoa; Chordata; Actinopteri; Cypriniformes; Xenocyprididae. The record is from RefSeq and is a predicted model, not a curated record.